This 251-nucleotide ribosomal RNA is filed under the name uncultured prokaryote. RNAcentral's name for it is "partial 16S rRNA". It matches the Rfam family "Bacterial small subunit ribosomal RNA", at positions 525 to 775 of the family's 1533-position model. The record is from RNAcentral.
ACGGGGGGGGCCAGCGUUGUUCGGAAUUACUGGGCGUAAAGGGCGCGUAGGCGGCCUUCUAAGUCAGACGUGAAAUCCCUCGGCUCAACCGGGGAACUGCGUCUGAUACUGGGAGGCUUGAAUCCGGGAGAGGGAUGCGGAAUUCCAGGUGGUGCGGUUAAAUGGGGUGGUAACUUGAGGAACACCGGGGGGCAAGGGGGCAACCUGGACCGGCAUUGACGCUGAGGCGCGAAAGCCAGGGGAGCAAACGG